Lathyrus oleraceus (garden pea) is the source of this 1171-nucleotide long non-coding RNA. RefSeq lists it as uncharacterized. NCBI's taxonomy places the organism in Eukaryota, Viridiplantae, Streptophyta, Magnoliopsida, Fabales, Fabaceae. The record is from RefSeq and is a predicted model, not a curated record. The transcript is spliced from 3 exons.
GCGAAUGACUAUUCCCUCACUAAAACGACCAUGAAGACUCAUGUAAAAAUCCAAACGCGAAUGACUAUUCCCUCACUAAAAGCGCUUAUCUGAAAAGCUCAUCCACAGCGCGAUUUGGUUAUUCGCUUCAGCAUCACUUCCGCGCUAUAGAAUAGCAUCGCGUGUUUGUCAUUGUUUCGUCUCCGACUCCUGCUUCUCCCCAUGUUUUAUGCUCAAGAACAACUCGAAGCGAACAACGGUUCCAAUCAUCAAUCCACGUUCCGAAAUCCGAAUCAAUGACUCAGUUCGAUUCACCAUUGUACGCGUGCACCAACAGAAAAAACAGAAUCGGAACCAAAGCGAUAAAUUCACCGGUAUUUGAAGCCUCAAUCGCAAACAGGUAUAUGGUAGUGCAACAUACAAGGGUGCAAGAUUGAGUUGGAUCACCACCAUAAGCAAAAUUGUAGUUCUUGUGAUAUCUAAAGGUUGAUGUUCAGCAAUAGUAGGAUGUAUCAAUAUAUUAUGCAGAGUUAUGCAGGGUGCAUUGGGACAGGCUGGCACUGCCAUGAUGUAGGGUCCUCACUUCUGCACUUGGUCUGAAUGCAAUUAGUUAGACGUGAAUCACAUUUUGGUUAUGGGAAGCAUUGAAACUCUUGUUGGCGUUGUCGGAAAAGUGAGGCUUGUAGGUCGAGUCUCCGUAGCAGAAUGAUGAGGUAAUUUUACAAUUGUUAUUGAUAAAUUAUUGGAAAUUCUAUGAAACAAUCACGAUCUGUGGAAUGGUUGGUUAUUUUUUCCAUUUCCUUUUUCUCAUCUUUGUCUGUAUGAUUGUUUAUUUGUUCUCAUCUCAAUCGUGUUCAUGCUUUGUUUGUGAUUAACAAUUUUUGUUUUUGUAUGUUGUUGAUAUUGCAUUGUCUUCUUCAAGUCGGUUUUGUCAUACUGUUGUUGAGUGUACUGGUUUUGGUAUUAUUAUGUUGAAGCUUGUAAAUAUUUAUUUACUUUUAUUGAUUGUGAGAAAUGAGUUUGUAUGAUUUUUGUGGAGAGAGGUUAUAGGAAGUUGUUGAAAGAAGCAAGGCGUUGUGUGUGAAUUCCACUUAAAAAGCCAAAGGUCCAUUUGUUUUUUUUUCAUUUCCUACGCUACGUUGCUGUAGAAAGAUUGCUUUCAAAUUUUUCUGCACCCUUUUUAUACUUUGUA